GUGUCAGCAGCCGCGGUAAGACGAACCGUACGAACGUUAUUCGGAAUUACUGGGCUUAAAGGGUUUGUAGGCGGCCUUGUAAGUCAGGUGUGAAAUCCCUCGGCUCAACCGAGGAAUGGCGCUUGAUACUGCAAGGCUUGAGGGAGACAGGGGUAAGCGGAACUGAUGGUGGAGCGGUGAAAUGCGUUGAUAUCAUCAGGAACACCGGUGGCGAAAGCGGCUUACUGGGUCUCUUCUGACGCUGAGGAACGAAAGCUAGGGUAGCGAACGGGAUUAGAAACCCUCGUAGUCC
Molecule: ribosomal RNA, 292 nt
Filed under: uncultured bacterium
Lineage: Bacteria
Description: partial 16S ribosomal RNA
Rfam family: Bacterial small subunit ribosomal RNA
Source: RNAcentral